UACGAAGGGUGCAAGCGUUAAUCGGAAUUACUGGGCGUAAAGCGUGCGCAGGCGGCUUUGCAAGACAGAUGUGAAAUCCCCGGGCUUAACCUGGGAACUGCAUUUGUGACUGCAUGGCUGGAGUGCGGCAGAGGGGGAUGGAAUUCCGCGUGUAGCAGUGAAAUGCGUAGAUAUGCGGAGGAACACCGAUGGCGAAGGCAAUCCCCUGGGCCUGCACUGACGCUCAUGCACGAAAGCGUGGGAGCAAACAGG
This 252-nucleotide ribosomal RNA is filed under the name uncultured bacterium. RNAcentral's name for it is "partial 16S ribosomal RNA". It matches the Rfam family "Bacterial small subunit ribosomal RNA", at positions 524 to 776 of the family's 1533-position model. The record is from RNAcentral.